GACGAACGCUGGCGGCGUGCCUAAUACAUGCAAGUCGAACGCAGUGGGGACGGGUGAGUAACACGUGGGUAACCUCCCAUCAGAGGGGAUAACACUUUGAAACAGGUGCUAAACCGAUACUGAUGGAUGGACCCGCGGUGCAUUAGCUAGUUGGUGGGGUACCGGCUCACCAGGGCCACGAUGCAUAGCCGACCGGAGAGGGGGAUCGGCCACACUGGGACGGAGACAGGGACAAGACUCCUACGGGAGGCAGCAGUAGGGAAUGUUCGGCAAUGGACGAAAGGAUGACCGAGCAACGCGGCGUGAGUGAAGAAGGUGUUCGGAUCGUAAAGCUCUGUUGUUAGUGAAGCGGUAUCUAACCAGAAAGCAACGGCUAACUACGUGCCAGCAGCCGCGGUAAUUC
This 403-nucleotide ribosomal RNA is filed under the name uncultured bacterium. RNAcentral describes it as "partial 16S ribosomal RNA". It matches the Rfam family "Bacterial small subunit ribosomal RNA", at positions 28 to 526 of the family's 1533-position model. The record is from RNAcentral.